Long non-coding RNA from Ruditapes philippinarum (Manila clam), 365 nucleotides. RefSeq lists it as uncharacterized. The record is from RefSeq and is a predicted model, not a curated record. Lineage: Eukaryota; Metazoa; Mollusca; Bivalvia; Venerida; Veneridae. The transcript is spliced from 3 exons.
GGUAAAACUUGGUAGCGUGCUGGUUUUGUGUGUGACAUUUAAUUGUGACGUCAGCAGUAAGUGAAACAUGCAACGAGACGCCAUCUUGUUCAAUUUUCCCAAACCAAGACCGCGGUGUUGUGACUCUACAAGAUCUGACUCAGAAAGUGCAGUCAAAACACUGGAUAAUGAUUUACUACACGCAGUUUUCGUUCACACAGACGUAUGGUAAAUGUAACUUCAGAUGGCAUGCUCCCAAUUCCGACCAGAACGUCAAGAGAGAAUUAAUGUGCUACAAUUCUGAUUUAAAGGAAUGCGAAGAUUACGAAACGUUGGUCAAACGGAAGACAUCAGACUGCAAUCGAGGGGAGGAGAACGGUAAAAAU